RNAcentral lists this ribosomal RNA (108 nucleotides) under Acinetobacter baumannii. Lineage: Bacteria; Pseudomonadati; Pseudomonadota; Gammaproteobacteria; Moraxellales; Moraxellaceae. The record is from RNAcentral. RNAcentral also lists the same sequence under 3 other names.
CCUGGCGGCACUAGCGCGGUGGUCCCACCUGACCCCAUGCCGAACUCAGAAGUGAAACGCCGUAGCGCCGAUGGUAGUGUGGGGUCUCCCCAUGUGAGAGUAGGGAAC